Long non-coding RNA from Cebus imitator (Panamanian white-faced capuchin), 187 nucleotides. RefSeq lists it as uncharacterized. Lineage: Eukaryota; Metazoa; Chordata; Mammalia; Primates; Cebidae. The record is from RefSeq and is a predicted model, not a curated record. The transcript is spliced from 3 exons.
UCUUCAGUGCUAGAGUUGCUGAAUCUUUCCCAGUGAAAAAAAAUUUGCUAUUACCUGGUCAAACCCACCAGGGCAGGUAAAGUCCUUCCCUUUAAAACAGGUGUAAACACAGGAGCUUUGGCAAGAUAUCUCAGCCCCUGGGGACACUUAGGGCAUCUGGAAGGUGACAGCGGGAAGCAUCGUGGGG